This is a long non-coding RNA of Hippoglossus stenolepis (Pacific halibut), 2501 nucleotides long. RefSeq lists it as uncharacterized. NCBI's taxonomy places the organism in Eukaryota, Metazoa, Chordata, Actinopteri, Pleuronectiformes, Pleuronectidae. The record is from RefSeq and is a predicted model, not a curated record. The transcript has 2 exons.
GCCAGCAGGGAAGACGAGCUCUUUUCUUCUCUUUUUUUUAUUGGCUACUUAUAAGGGCUUUCUUUGAUUGGCAUGCUGAGAGAAACCCCACCUCUUCCUGCGUCCUAUUGGAUGAUAACAGACAACUCUAAAUCUGAUUGGAAGAUGAGACCAGGACUUUUUUUCCCAUUGGCUCGGUGGGUUUUGAGGCGUCCGAUUGGCCAGUGACAUGACGGCUGCAUACAGAGCCGCCAGUUUUACUUUACCCAUCAUCCCUCAGGGCGUCCUGAGACCUGUUAUCAGCUCUCUUUGGGAUUCACUCAGACCUUUUGGCAUCAUGAAGCCGGUACAUCACCAUGGUAACUGAGGUAGAUCGCCACGGUAACAGAGUCAUCGUUUCUACGGGAUCCUGACGGGGACAAAAAUACCGAGUCUCUGAUGAAGUGAAGAGACGUUCAAAUAAGAACAAAUCGGAUUAAUCUAAAAACUCAAAAUUUAUUCGAAGAAGUUUGAUAGAUUUUGACUUUUUUAGUUGAGACGCUUCAGGUAAAAACACGUAAGAGACAAAUAUUUGACGUUGGUGAUAAUCUGGAGACGUUUGAAAGUUACAGAAACUGACGUGAUGACAUCACAGACCAGCUGCUGCUCGCCGCUCUGACCUAAGGAAACGCAGCUGCGCUGGUUUUAUCAUCGACCAAUCACCUCAAAGAUCCCAACAUCAUCACCUGCCACGUCCCCACCUCUCAAGACUGACCACGCCCCAAGAGGCGAAGAAGCUUAGACUCCGCCCAUUCUCUCACCUGCACACAGCCGACCAAUCACAGUCAUCUUCUGUGGUGUUUAAUGUUUAUCACCGUCCUGGUUCUCAUGAGGAUCAGUGAGAUGCCAAAAGAGACAGACUGAGCUGAAACAGGCUCCUGGUGCACUCAUCUUCAUCAUCAUCUUCAUCGUCGACUUCAUCUUCGUCAGUCUAACUUUUAAAUCGUAUGCAAACACCUGAACCUGUGGGUCUCGUUGUCUUGGAGACCAAACAGCUGAUUCUGAUCUGAGCAUGUGAAAAUCACUGGAAUGAUUUUUUUAUUUUUAUAAAGUUCAACAUGUAAAGACUCAAUAUUAUUAUUAUUAUUAUUAGAGAUGAAAUAGAACAGAGUUGCUCUGAUUUGCCUGCUUGCUUGUAAAAUAGAAGAAACCUUUAUUGUAAUGAUGUAACAGAGCCAUACACACAUACACACACACACACAGAUGUCAGGUCCAGCUGCGGUCCUGUUGGCUUUUAAUAAACAUAACAUCGCCAUGGCAACACGGUCAUCAGGAUGGGUGACCUGUUUCUCUAGCAACAGCCACGGUGGAGGAGGACGACAUCGCCAACAUGGCCGACGACCUGCAGCUCUGGAUCAUAACAAGUGCCUCAUUUUGGUUUUUUGGCCUUCAUCAUAUAAAGUGUCACCCGACCCCCCCCAUCCCCCGUGUCCUCACUGGUUUUAUAUCUGAGACGAUUCGUCUUCGUCAUGUCUUGUGGACGCGUCCCCGUCUCUGCUUCAGCUCAAGAUUAUUCUCAUCAUUAUAUUUAUUCCUCAUUUUCUCAACUGAUUCACGUUAGAGACUAAAUCUUCAGUUUUUAAAUCUCUUUGUGCUGCAGCUGAUGAAUCUGUUCAUCUUCAGCAGAUGAAUCAGUAAUAAUCAAUAAAUAAAAAUCGAUGAUUAGUUUUAGUGUUUUGUAUGAGAGACACAUGAAGUAACCGUCACAUCCUGUUGACGCGUCUUUUCUCUGUUCAUCAGAUUUGUCCGGAGCUGAUUCUCGUCUUUAAUCUGAAGAAAAAUUCUGUUUCCAACGAUUUGUGUUUCGGACGAAAAAACAUCAUUGAUCAGUUUCUUCUCUGUUUCUGUUUUCAGAUUUAAAACACACAUUGUUCUCCUCUUCAUUCAGCAGACUUUUAUUCUGAAGGUUUUAUCCUGUAUCAUUCAUAAGUUGUGUCGUCUUCUUCGUAGACUGAAUCUGUAAUGACACAGUCUGGUCUGCGGGGGGCGUGAUUGGUGUCACCAGCUUGUCCCGCCCUUACCGCUGUCGCCUAGCAACACAUCGUGAUUAUGUCCCUGAAGCCCAGUGAACCCUGGGAUAUGUUGUCCUGAGCAGGACGUGACCUGACACAUCUGAAGGAUCCUUAUCGACGGGGCGAUUCUGAAUGAGACGGAUUUAUAGAAACAUUUGAUUCAGAAAAACACGAUGAACAUGAUUUUUAUUCUGAUUCACGAAGAGAUAAAAACACAAAAUCUUGUUUGAUCAGAUUUAAUUUGUCUCAUUAACGUCUCAUUCUCAUAUUUAAACGUUUAAUGAUCGAUGUCAAACUGAGAAGUUUCAUGUUUAAAUUUUCACUUUGAAUACAAAGUUGUUCACUUCCUGUUCACUGUGACGCUUCAUUAACACGGAUGCAUGAACCUGUUCCCAUGGUAACUGGAGUCAUGUGACAGACUCUGGUUGUGUUGUUAUGUAAAAUGUUCAUUUUCUAAAUAAUUAUCUUUGA